GAUUGAGAGAAAUAUUACAGAUUUUCAGCAGUUAUUCAUGCAUAUAAAAGGAAGGCGAUGUAUAACUUCAUAUUCAGAAGAUACUUUUGAAAUCCUCACAUUGAAGUUUUAUUAAGUAACCAUGAAGUUUGUGAUUUUCAUCUCAUUUCUUCUAUGCGCUACCCUGGUGUCAGCUCAAACCGAUCCUAACAGAGAAAUAUGCUUAGGAAGGUAUUGCUCUUCAAGGAGCGGAUGGAGAUGUUGCCCUUAUUUCAAUGGCAUGUGUUGCGCAGGUGGACUAACAUGUUGUCAAUUUUAAAC
Long non-coding RNA from Stegodyphus dumicola, 300 nucleotides. The record is from RefSeq and is a predicted model, not a curated record. NCBI's taxonomy places the organism in Eukaryota, Metazoa, Arthropoda, Arachnida, Araneae, Eresidae.